RNAcentral lists this microRNA precursor (50 nucleotides) under Ciona intestinalis (vase tunicate). RNAcentral's name for it is "microRNA cin-mir-5604 precursor". Lineage: Eukaryota; Metazoa; Chordata; Ascidiacea; Phlebobranchia; Cionidae. The record is from miRBase by way of RNAcentral.
AAGUUUCACAGAAGAGGAACAACAAGUUUUCUCUACAUUUUGUGCUGCAG